Molecule: ribosomal RNA, 497 nt
Filed under: uncultured bacterium
Lineage: Bacteria
Description: partial 16S ribosomal RNA
Rfam family: Bacterial small subunit ribosomal RNA
Source: RNAcentral
GAUGAACGCUGGCGGCGUGCCUAAUACAUGCAAGUAGAACGCUGAAGGAAGGAGCUUGCUCUUUCCGGAUGAGUUGCGAACGGGUGAGUAACGCGUAGGUAACCUGCCUGGUAGCGGGGGAUAACUAUUGGAAACGAUAGCUAAUACCGCAUAACAGUAGAUGUUGCAUGAUAUCUACUUAAAAGGUGCAAUUGCACCACUACCAGAUGGACCUGCGUUGUAUUAGCUAGUUGGUGAGGUAACGGCUCACCAAGGCGACGAUACAUAGCCGACCUGAGAGGGUGAUCGGCCAAACUGGGACUGAGACACGGCCCAGACUCCUACGGGAGGCAGCAGUAGGGAAUCUUCGGCAAUGGGCGGAAGGCUGAACGAGCAACGCCGCGUGAGUGAAGAAGGUUUUCGGAUCGUAAAACUCUGUUGUAAGAGAAGAAAGAGUGUGAGAGUGGAAAGUUCACACUGUGACGGUAUCUUACCAGAAAGGGACGGCUAACUACGUG